CAUGCUCAGUAUCUUCUCAGUCGUCGAUCAAGACAGUGCAGAAAGCAGCAGCAGCAGAAGCAAUUGCUAGUGGAGUGUUAUCUCGCGAGUGUGAUCAGUUGACUGGGAAAACCGUUCCAAAACCAUCUAAAAAUGGCCAGUUUAAGAAUUACCAUCCUUCUGAUUCUUGCAGUCAGUAAUGUGAUACUCUGCAAACCGAUUGUGGAAGAACGGAUUUCGAAUAAUAGCUCAAUGAUGUCAUCAGCCCAUGAGGCACGUGUUCCAAGGAUGCAUAUCGAUGGUACAUCUCCAGUUCUCCAAGCCGGAAUUGCACGCGUCAACGGACGGUUUGGAAAAAGUAUCCGAGCGUUUACAGUGAAUGAGUUUGAAAAAUAUAUUGUAGGAUUGGUGUAACAGUGAUUAGAAUAUAAAUUAUGUUUAUAUGUUAAGAAAAGAAUGCUAAGUGAUUUCGUGGAUAUAAUGAAUUAUGGCAAAUCUUCAUGUCAUUAUUUAUCUGAUGACAACAUACACACUAAGAAAAAAUCAUGUAAAUUUAAGUGCUCUGAGAGUGACAUAUACGAGCGUCAAUUUUGACAUAAAUUUGAGUCAUAAUAGACACGAAAUAAAGCUUAAUCAAACAUACUUUUCAUCGAGCAACGAACUUUUCAGUCUCGGAGAUGGAUUCCUUUACAUGUAAAAUUAAUUAUUUCUAAGUGUGUAUGAUUCAAAUCAUUAUUAACAU
Long non-coding RNA from Ochlerotatus camptorhynchus, 721 nucleotides. RefSeq lists it as uncharacterized. NCBI's taxonomy places the organism in Eukaryota, Metazoa, Arthropoda, Insecta, Diptera, Culicidae. The record is from RefSeq and is a predicted model, not a curated record. The transcript has 3 exons.